Molecule: ribosomal RNA, 496 nt
Filed under: uncultured bacterium
Lineage: Bacteria
Description: partial 16S ribosomal RNA
Rfam family: Bacterial small subunit ribosomal RNA
Source: RNAcentral
GAUGAACGCUGGCGGCGUGCCUAAUACAUGCAAGUCGAGCGAACAGACGAGGAGCUUGCUCCUCUGACGUUAGCGGCGGACGGGUGAGUAACACGUGGAUAACCUACCUAUAAGACUGGGAUAACUUCGGGAAACCGGAGCUAAUACCGGAUAAUAUAUUGAACCGCAUGGUUCAAUAGUGAAAGACGGUUUUGCUGUCACUUAUAGAUGGAUCCGCGCCGCAUUAGCUAGUUGGUAAGGUAACGGCUUACCAAGGCAACGAUGCGUAGCCGACCUGAGAGGGUGAUCGGCCACACUGGAACUGAGGCACGGUCCAGACUCCUACGGGAGGCAGCAGUAGGGAAUCUUCCGCAAUGGGCGAAAGCUUGACGGAGCAACGCCGCGUGAGUGAUGAAGGUCUGCGGAUCGUAAAACUCUGUUAUUAGGGAAGAACAAAUGUGUAAGUAACUAUGCACGUCUUGACGGUACCUAAUCAGAAAGCCACGGCUAACUACGU